UGGGCCCCAGCCCGCGCCCCGCGCCCCGGAGAUCCUCGACGCCCCUGCGAACGCGGGGUGGACGCGACGGGCUGGGUCUGUGUCCUGAAGCUUGGCAGAUGAGCGAACUUAGCCAGCACACCCCCGGCCGUGAAGCAGGGAGGUGAAGCGGGGAGAGCAACGAGCCCCACCCGGGUCUUGCCAGCUGGACGUUCUUGUGGGGCAGCGUUGAGCAGCGGUUAGGAGUGCCGUGGACUUUGGAUUCAAACAGCCCCAGCUCUUCUGCUUGCUAGCUGGGUGACUUUGGGCAAAUUAACAUCUCGAAAAUCUGUUUCCUCAUUCCUAAAAUGCGGGUCUGAAAGUGAUCAUGCCUGUAAAGCCAUCUCAUAUCCAUGGUUCUAGAAGCAUGGUGAGCACCUCAAUUUGAAUAAUCAGUGCCAUGCUUUAGCUACCUCUUGACUCACUCGUUUGUGGCAGGAAAUGUUCCCAAAUUAAUCAGAAGAAUUCAGUGACUAAGAGGAUGUAAUAGUAUAUAGCGCAGGCACUGGAAUCAGCUCUGCUGUGUGAUCUUGGACAAGCUGCUUCUGUUCCGUUUCUCUUAUCUGGGGCAAUACCUGUCUGAAUAGAGUGACUGUUGGGACGAAAUAGGUUAGUAAAUAUGUACUGUAAGGCAUUAGAACCUUGCCUGGCACAUAGUAAGUGCUCAAUAAACGCUAGGUCUUGUUACCUUGGCUUCCCGUUUAGGAUUGGAACCCUUGUGAUUAUUCUUUCCCUCCCAGUGAUAGACUUCUGUGCUUACUUCGCACUCCUAGGCGUUCUGUAGGUUUGUAAACCAGUAUUUAUACAGAAAUACUUUCUGUAGAAAGACAGGCAUCAUCAGAUUGUGCAUGUUAAUCCGGGAACAGACCGAAAGGGAAGGUCUCAGAGGAGAGAGGCAUAAAGGGAGAAAACAAAACAAAGUCACAAGCAAAGCAAGAGUAGUUGCUUUUAUUCCUAAAGUGUUCAUUAUAAAAGAAACCAGAGGGCAGGGCACUGUGGCUCCCAGCACUUUGGGAGGCGGGUGGAUCACUUGAGGUCAGUAGUUUGAGACCAGUCUGGCCAACAAGGUGAAACCCUGUCUCUACUAAAAAUACAAAAUCCGCUGGGCGUGGUGGCACACACCUGUAAUCCCUGCUACUCUGGAGGCUGAGGCACGAGAAUUGCUUGAACCUGGGAGGCAGAGGUUGCAGUGAGGCGAGAUCACACCAUUGCACUCCAGCCUGGGCAACAACAGCAAAACUCCGUCUCAAAAGAAAAAAACAAACACAAAUACAGGAGGAAAACAAACAAUAAAAAAGUGAUGAAAUUCAUUUUAUAUAAAUAUAUUGUGAGAAAUAUAUGUAAAUAUGUGCAUGGGAAAAUGCCAAUCCAACCAAGAAAGGCAAAGAAAGUGAUAUGCCAGCUAUGCAUAUGUAACUUAAUAAAAGAAAGGUGAGCCUGGCUUGUCCUUAGAUAAGAGAAUAUCCAAGAGAAAAGGAAAUUAAAAUCCUAGAGGGCUAAAUCCAAAGGAGGACAAUUGCUGGCAUUGACAUACUUCUAGCUGUCCACCUUGAUCAUGAAUUCCAGGAGAAGUUCAGAUCGUUCUUGGACCUGGGUCUGUCUCUUUCACAUUUUCUAUUAUGUGUUGAAGAUUGUUUAGAACUAUAGACUCAGCCAGGCGCGGUGGCUCACACUUGUAAUCCCAGCACUUUGGGAGGCCGAGGCGGGUGGAUCACAAGGUCAGGAGUUCAAGACCAGCCUGGCCAACACAGUGAAACCCUGUCUCUACUAAAAAUAUAAAAAUUAGCUGGACGUGGUGGCAGGCGCCUGUAAUCCGAGCUAAUGG
RNAcentral lists this long non-coding RNA (1843 nucleotides) under Homo sapiens (human). RNAcentral describes it as "HSALNT0368196". Lineage: Eukaryota; Metazoa; Chordata; Mammalia; Primates; Hominidae. The record is from RNAcentral.